CUCACACCCAUCAACGCCCGGGUACUACGAGCCCCAGCUUAAAACCCAAAGGACUUGACGGUGUCCCAUCCACCUAGAGGAGCCUGUUCUAUAAUCGAUAAUCCCCGCUAAACCCAACCCCCUCUUGCAAUCAGCCUGUAUACCUCCGUCGUAAGCUUACCAUAUGAAUGACCCCAGUAAGCUAAAUGAUUAUAACACCCCAAUACGUCAGGUCAAGGUGCAGCUCAUGAGAAGGCAAGCAAUGGGCUACAAUUUCUAAUCUAGAACAAACGAAACACUGCAUGAAACUCAGCUGUGAAGGCGGAUUUAGUAGUAAAAAGAAAAUAGCGUGUUCUUUUUAACUAGGCCCUGGGACGUGUACACACCGCCCGUC
RNAcentral lists this ribosomal RNA (373 nucleotides) under Nanorana yunnanensis (Yunan spiny frog). Its description in RNAcentral is "partial 12S ribosomal RNA". It matches the Rfam family "Bacterial small subunit ribosomal RNA", at positions 875 to 1398 of the family's 1533-position model. The record is from RNAcentral. Lineage: Eukaryota; Metazoa; Chordata; Amphibia; Anura; Dicroglossidae.